AUGGCGGCGGCGUCCCAUCUGGACGGAGGCACGAAGCGGCGGCGGAAGGAGGAGGAAGUAGAAGCAGGCGUGGAGGCGGCAGAGGACCUCAUCUCGGAGCUGCCGGAGGCGCUGCGGCUGCACGUCCUCUGUCUGCUCCCGCUCAAAUCCGCCAUCCGCACGGGCGCGCUCUCCACCCGGUGGUGCUCCCUCUGGACGCACCGCUGGCCGGCGCCCUCCUCCCUCGACUUCCGCCUCGGCAUCGGCGACUCCCCGCACCCUCUCCUCGAAACCCUAGAGCGGCGCGGGCGGCGGCGCCUCCAGCGGUUCGCCCUCUCCUUCGGCAUCGGCGCGUUCAAGGCCGAGCACUUCCGCCGCUGCCUCGACCUCGCCGUCGCCUGCGCCGUCGAGGACCUGCACGUCCACCGCGUGCACCACUUCUUCGCCCGCUUCUACAAGUUCCGGCUCCCGCUGGGGGACCCCCACCUCGCCCGCCUCUCGUUCCGCUACAUCAGCGUCGACCUCCCCGACUCCUUCUCCGCCCGCUCCCACCCCUUCACCGCCCUCGAGGUCAUCCACCUCCGCUGCGUCCACAUCUCCAACGACACAGUCAGCAGCCUGGUCGCCGCGUGCCCCCUCCUCCACACCCUCGAUUUGCGCUACUGCGAAGGCCUCGACUCCGUGAGCGUCGCGGCGGCCGGGGCGCACCUGAGGAGCCUCACCGUUGCAGAGUGCGAUCCGUGCAUCGAUGUUCUUUUUGCCGACGAGGCAUCCGGUCUGUGCUCAUUCCGCUACAGCGGCGCCUACAUGCCCGCCUACAGCAUCCCGGCCACCAUCACUAGUCUUGCUGAACUUUACAUCUGCUUCGGAGCAUCUAACCGCCGGCGACGCUUGUCAGGCACCAGAAUCCGGUUUUAUGGACAGGAGGCUCACGCUUGCGAGCUGCGCAGAAACUAG
This 936-nucleotide ribosomal RNA is filed under the name Triticum aestivum (bread wheat). RNAcentral describes it as "partial small subunit ribosomal RNA". The record is from RNAcentral. Lineage: Eukaryota; Viridiplantae; Streptophyta; Magnoliopsida; Poales; Poaceae.